GCACGGAUGGCAGCAGUAAACAAGGAAAUUAAAUGUGUGUUGACAGAAGUUCUUCUGAAGGUUACUGAUGAUCUUUUUAAUGAGAUUGCAAGAAAAGUUAUGAAUGAAGAUGAUUCAUGAGCUGAACCAAAUGAGACCACUGGUGUCUCUAGCUCAAAGGAGACCACAGCUAAAGUUGUAGUCCGUGCUAAGCCAAACAAUGGUAGCUCUGAUGGUACUGGGCUAAGUUCUCCUAAAGGUGCUCUUCUUGGUCUUACUAGUUAUGAUUCAU
Long non-coding RNA from Triticum aestivum (bread wheat), 271 nucleotides. RefSeq lists it as uncharacterized. The transcript is spliced from 3 exons. The record is from RefSeq and is a predicted model, not a curated record. NCBI's taxonomy places the organism in Eukaryota, Viridiplantae, Streptophyta, Magnoliopsida, Poales, Poaceae.